CUUGUUAACAGUUUACAGAGAAACGAGUAGAAAGGAAAGCGAUUUCUCCGUUUAUGCUGUUCUUCAUUUAUCAUGCCUUCUUAACCCAAUAGGAUGUAUCUCUUUUGCUGUUCGUUCUACCCGGCACUAUCUUCUGUCGGAUUUUCUCAGCAGCAAUCAGCACCAUGAAAACGAAUAAAACCAAAAGAAAAAAAAUUUUAUCUGAAACUUGGCAACUCUGCAGUCCAAACAAACAACACUUGACGAAAAACAGAACCAACAGUGAAACAGACUCGCAUAUAUAUCUAAUGAUCAACUUUGCAUUUUUUUGUAUUUAAUUUUUUUUUUUGUAACAUCAAAUAUCAAGAAUCGUACAUCUUUGACAUAAUAUUAUUUUUAUUUUCAUAAUUUGGUCAAUAAAUAUCAAUUGAAUGAAAUGAAAUAUGAGAUAAUAAAGUUCUUCACAUAAAAUAAAUGUAUAGUGUGGUUCGAGGCAUGUUCGACGAGGAAAUGUAUAAUGUGUACAUAUACGCAGCAUAUAUGUUUUGAUAUUUUAAUGUAUAAUACAAACAGAAGUAUAUGUAAGUUACUCGCUUUCUUGGCCUCUAAAUGUUUGCAUGAAUGAAAACUAGCCUUCUAUUCAUGCAAGCAAAUCAAAAAAACA
Long non-coding RNA from Aphidius gifuensis, 643 nucleotides. RefSeq lists it as uncharacterized. Lineage: Eukaryota; Metazoa; Arthropoda; Insecta; Hymenoptera; Braconidae. The transcript is spliced from 2 exons. The record is from RefSeq and is a predicted model, not a curated record.